CACGUAGGGCGCGAGCGUUGUCCGGAAUUAUUGGGCGUAAAGAGCUCGUAGGCGGCCUGUUGCGUCCGCUGUGAAAGCCCGGGGCUUAACCCGAGUCUGCCAUGCGAACUGGUGGACUGGAGCACUGUAGAGGCAGGUGGAAUUCCGGGUGUAGCGGUGGAAUGCGUAGAGAUCCGGAAGAACACCAGUGGCGAAGGCGGCCUGCUGGGCAGUGCUGACGCUGAGGCGCGACAGCGUGGGAGCAACAGG
This 249-nucleotide ribosomal RNA is filed under the name uncultured bacterium. RNAcentral describes it as "partial 16S ribosomal RNA". It matches the Rfam family "Bacterial small subunit ribosomal RNA", at positions 524 to 776 of the family's 1533-position model. The record is from RNAcentral.